This 438-nucleotide ribosomal RNA is filed under the name uncultured bacterium. RNAcentral's name for it is "partial 16S ribosomal RNA". It matches the Rfam family "Bacterial small subunit ribosomal RNA", at positions 339 to 795 of the family's 1533-position model. The record is from RNAcentral.
CUACGGGGUGCUCCAGUGGGGAAUAUUGCACAAUGGGGGGAACCCUGAUGCAGCAACGCCGCGUGGAGGAUGACACAUUUCGGUGCGUAAACUCCUUUUAUAUAAGAAGAUAAUGACGGUAUUAUAUGAAUAAGCACCGGCUAACUCCGUGCCAGCAGCCGCGGUAAUACGGGGGGUGCAAGCGUUACUCGGAAUCACUGGCGUAAAGAGCAUGUAGGCUGGUUUGUAAGUUGGAAGUGAAAUCCUAUGGCUUAACCAUAGAACUGCUUCCAAAACUACUUACCUAGAGUAUGGGAGAGGUAGAUGGAAUUUCUGGUGUAGGGGUAAAAUCCGUAGAGAUCAGAAGGAAUACCGAUUGCGAAGGCGAUCUACUGGAACAUUACUGACGCUCAGAUGCGAAAGCGUGGGGAGCAAACAGGAUUAGAUACCCCCGUAGUC